Molecule: ribosomal RNA, 606 nt
Filed under: Triticum aestivum (bread wheat)
Lineage: Eukaryota; Viridiplantae; Streptophyta; Magnoliopsida; Poales; Poaceae
Description: partial small subunit ribosomal RNA
Source: RNAcentral
AUGAAGACAAACAGGUGUGGUGGAUGUCUCACCGAUGCGAAGGCGUGUCCGGGGAGCGCAUCGGCGACGUCCUGGAGCACGGCGCCGAGGGGCGCGCUCCGUGCGGCCACGAGCGCGGCGCAGGCGCGUCCAACGGCGGCGAGCGCGGCGGGCUGGUCCUCGGCGGUGACGGAGGGGAGCACGGGGGCCUCGCCCCAGCCGACGGCGCCGCUGGAGAGCUCGACCCGCACGGCGACGUUGGAGACGGCGUCGAGGCGCGAGGAGGCGAUGGUGAAGGGCGCGGCGAGCGGCACGUUGAGCGGGCGGGCCUCGGCCGCCGCCACGUCCACCGAGAAGGUCUCCUUGAGCGCGUCGAAGCCGAACGCCUCCAUUGGCUGCUGCUGCUGCUGCUGCGGGGUCGGUGGGGACGGCGACGGCGACGGCGAGAUGCCGCGGAGGCGGGUGGCUCUCUGGCGGCCGGCGCCGGCGUGGGUGGCUCGAGGGGUGGGGUUGAGGAGGGGCCUCGGGCUGGGAGGCUUCUGGGCGAAGCAGAGAGGGGAUGAGGAGGAUGUGGUGGAGGCGUCCAUGGCCGGCAGCGCUGGGAAGCGGUGGCUCGGACGACGUUGA